AUGCGUUGUUGGGUAGGGGAGCGUUCUGUAAGCCUGUGAAGGUGUGCUGUGAGGCAUGCUGGAGGUAUCAGAAGUGCGAAUGCUGACAUAAGUAACGAUAAAGCGGGUGAAAAGCCCGCUCGCCGGAAGACCAAGGGUUCCUGUCCAACGUUAAUCGGGGCAGGGUGAGUCGACCCCUAAGGCGAGGCCGAAAGGCGUAGUCGAUGGGAAACAGGUUAAUAUUCCUGUACUUGGUGUUACUGCGAAGGGGGGACGGAGAAGGCUAUGUUGGCCGGGCGACGGUUGUCCCGGUUUAAGCGUGUAGGCUGGUUUUCCAGGCAAAUCCGGAAAACUAAGGCUGAGGCGUGAUGACGAGGCACUACGGUGCUGAAGCAACAAAUGCCCUGCUUCCAGGAAAAGCCUCUAAGCAUCAGGUAACAUCAAAUCGUACCCCAAACCGACACAGGUGGUCAGGUAGAGAAUACCAAGGCGCUUGAGAGAACUCGGGUGAAGGAACUAGGCAAAAUGGUGCCGUAACUUCGGGAGAAGGCACGCUGAUAUGUAGGUGAAGUCCCUCGCGGAUGGAGCUGAAAUCAGUCGAAGAUACCAGCUGGCUGCAACUGUUUAUUAAAAACACAGCACUGUGCAAACACGAAAGUGGACGUAUACGGUGUGACGCCUGCCCGGUGCCGGAAGGUUAAUUGAUGGGGUUAGCGCAAGCGAAGCUCUUGAUCGAAGCCCCGGUAAACGGCGGCCGUAACUAUAACGGUCCUAAGGUAGCGAAAUUCCUUGUCGGGUAAGUUCCGACCUGCACGAAUGGCGUAAUGAUGGCCAGGCUGUCUCCACCCGAGACUCAGUGAAAUUGAACUCGCUGUGAAGAUGCAGUGUACCCGCGGCAAGACGGAAAGACCCCGUGAACCUUUACUAUAGCUUGACACUGAACAUUGAGCCUUGAUGUGUAGGAUAGGUGGGAGGCUUUGAAGUGUGGACGCCAGUCUGCAUGGAGCCGACCUUGAAAUACCACCCUUUAAUGUUUGAUGUUCUAACGUUGACCCGUAAUCCGGGUUGCGGACAGUGUCUGGUGGGUAGUUUGACUGGGGCGGUCUCCUCCUAAAGAGUAACGGAGGAGCACGAAGGUUGGCUAAUCCUGGUCGGACAUCAGGAGGUUAGUGCAAUGGCAUAAGCCAGCUUGACUGCGAGCGUGACGGCGCGAGCAGGUGCGAAAGCAGGUCAUAGUGAUCCGGUGGUUCUGAAUGGAAGGGCCAUCGCUCAACGGAUAAAAGGUACUCCGGGGAUAACAGGCUGAUACCGCCCAAGAGUUCAUAUCGACGGCGGUGUUUGGCACCUCGAUGUCGGCUCAUCACAUCCUGGGGCUGAAGUAGGUCCCAAGGGUAUGGCUGUUCGCCAUUUAAAGUGGUACGCGAGCUGGGUUUAGAACGUCGUGAGACAGUUCGGUCCCUAUCUGCCGUGGGCGCUGGAGAACUGAGGGGGGCUGCUCCUAGUACGAGAGGACCGGAGUGGACGCAUCACUGGUGUUCGGGUUGUCAUGCCAAUGGCACUGCCCGGUAGCUAAAUGCGGAAGAGAUAAGUGCUGAAAGCAUCUAAGCACGAAACUUGCCCCGAGAUGAGUUCUCCCUGACUCCUUGAGAGUCCUGAAGGAACGUUGAAGACGACGACGUUGAUAGGCCGGGUGUGUAAGCGCAGCGAUGCGUUGAGCUAACCGGUACUAAUGAACCGUGAGGCUUAACCUU
RNAcentral lists this ribosomal RNA (1730 nucleotides) under Escherichia coli. RNAcentral's name for it is "partial 23S ribosomal RNA". It matches the Rfam family "Bacterial large subunit ribosomal RNA", at positions 1216 to 2925 of the family's 2925-position model. The record is from RNAcentral. Lineage: Bacteria; Pseudomonadati; Pseudomonadota; Gammaproteobacteria; Enterobacterales; Enterobacteriaceae.